Molecule: ribosomal RNA, 707 nt
Filed under: uncultured organism
Description: bacterial SSU rRNA
Rfam family: Bacterial small subunit ribosomal RNA
Source: RNAcentral
CAGGAUGAACGCUGGCGGUCUGCUUAACACAUGCAAGUCGAACGGGCUCUUCGGAGCUAGUGGCGGACGGGUGAGUAACGCGUGAGGAUCUGCCUUCAGGAGGGGGAUAACGACUGGAAACGGUCGCUAAUACCGCAUAUGCCUACGGGUGAAAGAUUUAUCGCCUGGAGAUGAACUCGCGUCAGAUUAGCUAGUUGGUGGGGUAAGAGCCUACCAAGGCGACGAUCUGUAGCUGGUCUGAGAGGAUGAUCAGCCACACUGGGACUGAGACACGGACCAGACUCCUACGGGAGGCAGCAGUGGGGAAUUUUCCGCAAUGGGCGCAAGCCUGACGGAGCAAGACCGCGUGCGGGAUGACGGCCUAAUGGUUGUAAACCGCUUUUCUCUGGGAAGAUGAUGACGGUACCAGAGGAAUCAGCCUCGGGUAACUCCGUGCCAGCAGCCGCGGUAAUACGGAGGAGGCAAGCGUUAUCCGGAAUUAUUGGGCGUAAAGCGUCCGUAGGUGGUUAUUCAAGUCUGCUGUCAAAGCGUGGGGCUUAACUCCAUAGAGGCAGUGGAAACUGGAUGACUUGAGUGCGGUAGGGGUCGAGGGAAUUCCCAGUGUAGAGGAGAAAUGCGUAGAUAUUGGGAAGAACACCAGUGGCGAAAGCGCUCGAGUGGGCCUGCACUGACACUGAGGGACGAGAGCUAGGGGAGCGAAAGGGAUU